UGGCAGAACCACAGGAGUGGACCACAGCCUACGCCUAUAACCGAAAGCCUGUCAACAAAUAAUCACAUUGUGGCAUGGGGACAGAGAAGAAGUAAAGGAAGGAGUGGGAAGACAUAACAUUUAGCACUGGGGUCAGGUGUGUACUUCCUUCCUGUCUGUCUCCAAUCAACUAAAGGACUGAUUUAAAGAGAAGUGUUUCUAAAACAUGACCUGUGUCCAGUGGAGAUUGCGGAAUAGAGAUGAGUGCCAGACCCACCCCCCUGGAGCAGUCUAUACAUAAAGGACUUGAUGUGGUUACCUGUGAUAAGAGGAUGCAGAGAGCAGCUUGGCCUUCCAGAUUCUGGCAGUUCUUCUCAAGACUCAGGUGGACCCCAUGGAAGUUAGCUGAGUUUGAAUUACCUAGAAAAUAUACCAGCCCAAGUAAAUCAACUACCAAUGGGAGUCAUGAUAUCAAAAAGACUACUGGGGAGUGUGUGAGAAAGGUCACAGAAGAAAAUGAAUCACUUGUAUUACAGAGAAAUACAGUGGAAGUUUUCCAAGACAGCCUCAAAAAUUCACAAAAGAGCUUUAUAAAGCAGAACACUAAAGAGGUUUCACACUUCUUUAGUGGAACCACAGGGUCCUUACUCCUCCUUCCCUGUGCUUCCUUUUGUCAUUUUGGGACCAGGAGAUUAAAAGCAAAUAAGGAGGAAAAGUAAAGAUGAAAAUGAGCUAAACGUGAUAAUCCUAUCAUGCCCCACUCCCUCCCCACUGCAGUCUCAUAAACCCAAGUCAGGAACAACUGAGGUUUGAGCAUUAGACUUGACUGUGCCUCUUUAAUAUCUGUGACUGUUGCAAUGUAUUAGUAAAUGAGGGUGUGCAGAAAACUCAGAGAUAUUCCUGAGAUUCUGAGGAAUCUCAGGGUGAUUUGACAGAAGGUGAUUUGACAUAACACACUUACAAGACAAGUGAGUAAAACAAAAAUUAAAUUUGACUUCUGCUAGCUUACUUCACCUGGUUCAAUAAGUCGGCUUUAAAUAUGAAAGAACAACUGAAAAGGAAAAACUGGUUCUCAUUCUGUGAAGUAUGACCGUAAAUAAACUGAAUUCGUACACAUAUUUAAAGAAAGAAUAGGCCAACAAUGAAAAAUGAAGAUGGACAUGCAUGAGAUAAAAUAUUUGCAAAUGAUAUUAGAAGACAAUAUUUCUAAGAAGAUAAGAGAGAGAAAAGAUGGG
This is a long non-coding RNA of Symphalangus syndactylus (siamang), 1214 nucleotides long. RefSeq lists it as uncharacterized. The record is from RefSeq and is a predicted model, not a curated record. NCBI's taxonomy places the organism in Eukaryota, Metazoa, Chordata, Mammalia, Primates, Hylobatidae.